ACAGCAAAUCGGUUUGUCGCGCUAUUUUUCAGUAAUGGCGAGGAAAGUCCGGGCAUCACAGAGCGCCAUAUUUCCUAACGGGAAGCCGUCAGCAAUGGCGGAGCAGUGUAACAGAAAAUAACCGCCAAUCCACAAAAUUGGACCGGUAAGGGUGAAAAGGCGGGGUAAAAGCCCACCGAUGCUUGUGGCAACACAGGCAGUCGUACAUCUUAUGGGAUGCAAUAUCAAGUAUAUCGGCGUAUGUAGGGUGGCUCGCCCGAUGCCGAGGGGUAGAUAGCACGAGACGCAAGGCGACUUGCGCCCCAGAUAAAUGACAAACGCUUCGAUUAGUCGGAGUACAGAACCCGGCUUACAGAUUUGCUGUUUUU
Molecule: RNase P RNA, 368 nt
Filed under: Paludibacter sp.
Lineage: Bacteria; Pseudomonadati; Bacteroidota; Bacteroidia; Bacteroidales; Paludibacteraceae
Description: RNase P RNA component class A
Rfam family: Bacterial RNase P class A
About the family: Ribonuclease P (RNase P) is a ubiquitous endoribonuclease, found in archaea, bacteria and eukarya as well as chloroplasts and mitochondria.
Source: RNAcentral